Grus americana (Whooping crane) is the source of this 731-nucleotide long non-coding RNA. RefSeq lists it as uncharacterized. The transcript has 4 exons. Lineage: Eukaryota; Metazoa; Chordata; Aves; Gruiformes; Gruidae. The record is from RefSeq and is a predicted model, not a curated record.
CCCGGCAGGUCCAGGCCCCGCUCACCCCCGACCCAAGGGCGGGAGGUGCGCGUCUCUUUAACGGACACAUUCAAGGACCGCAAGGCCCAACGCGAGGUUGCGCACAGCAAGAUUGAAAAAUCAUUUUGGAAUUGGAACAGCUGAGAUUUAUGUGUUUAAGAAGCAAGAAAAAAAUAGAAUCCCAGAAGCUCGUAUUAUAGAAAAGCUAAUUCUUUGAAAGGUGUCGAGGAGGCACUAUGCGACUAAAAGAAAAUUCCUAACUUUAUUGUCUGGAGACACAAUCAGCCACAGAUCAGAACACUGUCAUGAAAAUCAGGAUAUUGAAGUGAUUUGACAAGAACAUAAGGAAGUAUUUCACAGCCAGACACACGGGGCGGGACAGGGCCAGGUGAGCAACGCCAGCCUCCUCUGCCGGCAGACUACCACCGCAAAGCACACACGGACACCACGACUGAUUUUGGAUCAAGCAGCCCGCGUGCUGCUCUGUGCUACCUUCCACUGAGGGCCCGCUCUGCCCCUUCCAAAAGCCCACGGACGUUUCCGCGAGGUGAAUCACCCACCCGCGGCAGCUCAAACCUGGUCGCCUCCCCACCCUGCCAAAUGGGGACAGGCAACCUGCGGCUUGCUGCGACAAGCCGUUGCAUUUGCGGUGCGGGCUCUCCCGCCUAGCCGUGGCAUCGCGCCUGCACCCGCCCAGGCCCUACCACGACAAGAGGGAUUUCGCCUGGGGG